This 1236-nucleotide long non-coding RNA is filed under the name Homo sapiens (human). Its description in RNAcentral is "novel transcript". The record is from RNAcentral. Lineage: Eukaryota; Metazoa; Chordata; Mammalia; Primates; Hominidae.
CCCUCAUUUCCUGCUUAUAUGAAGACUCAAGGCCAAGCUACAUUUGACAGCAUUUCUCCCCUAUCAUUUUAAACUGAAAAUCCCAAGACUGAUAAAAUUUCAAAACUAAGCUGAAAUAAGAAGAAGGAAAAUAGUGUUUCCGGUGUUUAUCAUUCCACUGGCCCAACAACAACAGCCAAUCAUAUUCAACUGAAAUAAUUUCAAAUUACUUAUUUAAUACUAGAUGUAUGCCAACUAGGAUAUUAGAUAUAAAAAUACCAAGUAAUAUAAUUUAUGUCUUUAAGUUCAAUAGCUACCAGGGAACAUAGACAUGUUAACAAUUAAUUAUAAAACAAUCCUAGAGUGUCUUUUUUAAUUGUGUUUACAAAGUUUUAUCAAAGCCUAGGGGAAUCAGUCACUUGGUUUUACACAAGUUAUUUGGUCAAGUGAACUUUUUUUUUUUUUUUUCACAGAUUGAAGCAUCUGACUAUUUCUAACACUGUGAUCCACAGUAUUAAGACAAUUAAAAUGCCAUAUUUAGGGAAUAUAUAAAUGUAUUAUUUUUCUUUAUGCAAAUUUCAAGUUGUUUAUUAUAUUCAGAAUGAGAAACAUUACAAAUAUAGAAAAUGCUGCAAAGUCAGCUUGGUUUUUGUACUUUCAUAUGAACUAGUCUCUGAGUACCCAGAUUAAUUAGCUAAUCACUGCAUUGUCAAGUCUCUAUAAUGCUCUCUGCUGUAUCCUAUCACUGACUUUUUCUGGGUUAAGAUUUAUUUUGGGAAUUGAGAGCCAAGGCUGGAACACACUGAACAGAGUGUUCUAUUUCUGUGUGAAAUGAUAGAUGUUGCUCUUGCCCAGAAUGAAAAUGCUUUGCACUGCUCCCAAUCUGUAAAUUGUUCCAUUUGCUUGGCAUAAUAAGUAUACUGAUGUAUUUAAUUCUGUCUACCAGGCCCAUGCUGUUCAAUUCCCCUCUGCUAGCCAAAUAUACCAGAAGUCAUAAAUUUCUCUCCAAUAAGGAAACUAAAUGUGAUCUCUUCUAUAAGUAAAAGCAGUGUUAGUGUCCUGUUAUUAUUUUUUGGAGUUACCGUAUGUUUUAAAUCCAAGAUUAGCAAAAGAUUUGUUAUAAUCUUUUCACUUUUAUCAACUACUUAGUCCAGCAAACAUACCGACAAAAUAAUUGUAUAUGCUCAAAGGUACAGUCUGUGGAAAUGAUUCGAUGUUUGUAUAACUACCACUUUCUUUCAAAAUGAACCUUCAUUU